UGGCGGACGGGUGAGUAAUGUCUGGGAAACUGCCCGAUGGAGGGGGAUAACUACUGGAAACGGUAGCUAAUACCGCAUAACGUCGCAAGACCAAAGAGGGGACCUUCGGGCCUCUUGCCAUCGGAUGUGCCCAGAUGGGAUUAGCUAGUAGGUGGGGUAACGGCUCACCUAGGCGACGAUCCCUAGCUGGUCUGAGAGGAUGACCAGCCACACUGGAACUGAGACACGGUCCAG
This 234-nucleotide ribosomal RNA is filed under the name uncultured bacterium. Its description in RNAcentral is "partial 16S ribosomal RNA". It matches the Rfam family "Bacterial small subunit ribosomal RNA", at positions 96 to 334 of the family's 1533-position model. The record is from RNAcentral. RNAcentral also lists the same sequence under 1 other name.